AACGAACGCUGGCGGCAGGCUUAACACAUGCAAGUCGAGCGCAUCCUUCGGGGUGAGCGGCAGACGGGUGAGUAACGCGUGGGAAUCUACCUUUUGCUACGGAAUAGCGCCGGGAAACUGGAAUUAAUACCGUAUGUGCCCUUAGGGGGAAAGAUUUAUCGGCAAGAGAUGAGCCCGCGUUGGAUUAGCUAGUUGGUGGGGUAAAGGCCUACCAAGGCGACGAUCCAUAGCUGGUCUGAGAGGAUGAUCAGCCACAUUGGGACUGAGACACGGCCCAAACUCCUACGGGAGGCAGCAGUGGGGAAUAUUGGACAAUGGGCGCAAGCCUGAUCCAGCCAUGCCGCGUGAGUGAUGAAGGCCUUAGGGUUGUAAAGCUCUUUCACCGGAGAAGAUAAUGACGGUAUCCGGAGAAGAAGCCCCGGCUAACUUCGUG
Molecule: ribosomal RNA, 433 nt
Filed under: uncultured bacterium
Lineage: Bacteria
Description: partial 16S ribosomal RNA
Rfam family: Bacterial small subunit ribosomal RNA
Source: RNAcentral